Molecule: ribosomal RNA, 252 nt
Filed under: uncultured bacterium
Lineage: Bacteria
Description: partial 16S ribosomal RNA
Rfam family: Bacterial small subunit ribosomal RNA
Source: RNAcentral
UACGUAGGGGCAAGCGUUAUCCGGAAUCAUUGGGCGUAAAGCGCGUGUAGGCGGUUCCGUAAGUCCGCUCUGAAAGCCCAGGGCUCAACCCUGGGAGGCGGGUGGAUACUACGGAACUGGAGUACGGAAGAGGAGAUUGGAAUUCCUGGUGUAGCGGUGAAAUGCGCAGAUAUCAGGAGGAACACCAACAGCGAAGGCAGAUCUCUGGGACGUUACUGACGCUGAGACGCGAAAGCGUGGGGAGCAAACAGG